Molecule: ribosomal RNA, 450 nt
Filed under: uncultured Sphingomonas sp.
Lineage: Bacteria; Pseudomonadati; Pseudomonadota; Alphaproteobacteria; Sphingomonadales; Sphingomonadaceae
Description: bacterial SSU rRNA
Rfam family: Bacterial small subunit ribosomal RNA
Source: RNAcentral
AGAGUUUGAUCCUGGCUCAGAACGAACGCUGGCGGCAUGCCUAACACAUGCAAGUCGAACGAUGCUUUCGGGCAUAGUGGCGCACGGGUGCGUAACGCGUGGGAAUCUGCCCUUGGUUCGGAAUACAGUUGAAACGACUGCUAAUACCGGAUGAUGUCGAUAAGACCAAAGAUUUAUCGCCUGAGGAUGAGCCCGCGUUGGAUUAGCUAGUUGGUGGGGUAAAGGCCUACCAAGGCGACGAUCCAUAGCUGGUCUGAGAGGAUGAUCAGCCACACUGGGACUGAGACACGGCCCAGACUCCUACGGGAGGCAGCAGUGGGGAAUAUUGGACAAUGGGCGCAAGCCUGAUCCAGCAAUGCCGCGUGAGUGAUGAAGGCCUUAGGGUUGUAAAGCUCUUUACCCGGGAAGAUAAUGACUGUACCGGGAGAAUAAGCCCCGGCUAACUCCGUG